UGGGGAGUCGUCCAGUGGCAGGACGGCAGACUCUGGAUCUGCUUACAGGGGUUCGAAUCCUCUCUCCCCAGCCA
Molecule: transfer RNA, 74 nt
Filed under: Nitrospira sp.
Lineage: Bacteria; Pseudomonadati; Nitrospirota; Nitrospiria; Nitrospirales; Nitrospiraceae
Also listed under: 10 other names
Description: tRNA-Gln
Rfam family: tRNA
About the family: Transfer RNA (tRNA) molecules are approximately 80 nucleotides in length. Their secondary structure includes four short double-helical elements and three loops (D, anti-codon, and T loops).
Source: RNAcentral